UUCGACCUGAGGUCAGGCAAGAACACCCGCUGAAC
RNAcentral lists this ribosomal RNA (35 nucleotides) under Trebouxia jamesii. RNAcentral describes it as "partial 26S ribosomal RNA". The record is from RNAcentral. Lineage: Eukaryota; Viridiplantae; Chlorophyta; Trebouxiophyceae; Trebouxiales; Trebouxiaceae.